UAGGGUGACCAAUCAUUUCGGUUUGCCUGGGACUGAGAUGUGGGACUCUCAGUGCCA
Molecule: microRNA precursor, 57 nt
Filed under: Loxodonta africana (African savanna elephant)
Lineage: Eukaryota; Metazoa; Chordata; Mammalia; Proboscidea; Elephantidae
Description: miRNA (ENSLAFG00000026341.1)
Source: RNAcentral